GAUGAACGCUGGCGGCGUGCCUAAUACAUGCAAGUCGAGCGAACGGACGAGAAGCUUGCUUCUCUGAUGUUAGCGGCGGACGGGUGAGUAACACGUGGAUAACCUACCUAUAAGACUGGGAUAACUUCGGGAAACCGGAGCUAAUACCGGAUAAUAUUUUGAACCGCAUGGUUCAAAAGUGAAAGACGGUCUUGCUGUCACUUAUAGAUGGAUCCGCGCUGCAUUAGCUAGUUGGUAAGGUAACGGCUUACCAAGGCAACGAUGCAUAGCCGACCUGAGAGGGUGAUCGGCCACACUGGAACUGAGACACGGUCCAGACUCCUACGGGAGGCAGCAGUAGGGAAUCUUCCGCAAUGGGCGAAAGCCUGACGGAGCAACGCCGCGUGAGUGAUGAAGGUCUUCGGAUCGUAAAACUCUGUUAUUAGGGAAGAACAUAUGUGUAGGUAACUGUGCACAUCUUGACGGUACCUAAUCAGAAAGCCACGGCUAACUACGUG
Molecule: ribosomal RNA, 497 nt
Filed under: uncultured bacterium
Lineage: Bacteria
Description: partial 16S ribosomal RNA
Rfam family: Bacterial small subunit ribosomal RNA
Source: RNAcentral